GCCACCAAGCGAAUUAAAAAUGGAGAGACGGGAUGGCUGAGAACCACAGAUCAACAGUCAAGACUUUUUUAAGCAUCGCACCAGAGAAA
Non-coding RNA from Pseudonaja textilis, 89 nucleotides. The record is from RefSeq and is a predicted model, not a curated record. Lineage: Eukaryota; Metazoa; Chordata; Lepidosauria; Squamata; Elapidae.